UAAAUUGUAAAUUAGUUUAAUGAGUAGUAAAAGUUAUGUUCUCUAAACUUAAAAAUUUUGGCGGUGUUUUAGUCUAUUCAGAGGAAUCUGUUCUUUAAUCGAUAAUCCGCGAUGGAUCUAACUUGAACUUGUGAUCAGCUUAUAUACCGUCGUUAUAAGAGUUUUUUAUGAGAAUAAUAAUUUUCUAGAAAUAUAAUUUUAUUUUAUAUCAGAUAAAGGUGUAGUUUAUGUUUUAGUGGAAAUGGAUUACAAUAAGCUUAUUUAAAUGGAUUAUUAAUGAAAUAUUAUUAUGAAAGUGGAUUUGAUAGUAAACUUUAUUUAGGAUAUAAGGUUGAUUUUGGCUCUAAGAUGUGU
This 354-nucleotide ribosomal RNA is filed under the name Stylogaster stylata. RNAcentral's name for it is "partial 12S ribosomal RNA". Lineage: Eukaryota; Metazoa; Arthropoda; Insecta; Diptera; Conopidae. The record is from RNAcentral.